CUGGUCUUAAAAGCAUUAGCUGAAUCUUGGUACGGGAUUGGUUCUACUCAGCGUGAUAAUUAUCUGACCGCUGAGGACAUCUUUCGGGAUGGCCAGACUUGUCCUCGAGUCGCUUCUAAUCUGGUUAACGAAAGCUUAAUUGCUUAGUUCCAUUUUUCAACUUUGACCUCGAAUCAGGCGGGACUACCCGCUGAACUUAA
Molecule: unclassified non-coding RNA, 200 nt
Filed under: soil metagenome
Description: partial contains internal transcribed spacer 2 and large subunit ribosomal RNA
Source: RNAcentral